GAAUGAAAUAUUACACUUUCCCUCUCCUCGUCAAGAAUAUUUCCUAAGAUUUAUUCUCUACGACCUUCUUCUUCUUCAGCUAACAGAGUAAUUCAGCUCAAUCACCAAGGCAGAGCUCCAGGUGAAUUCAACAGAAAAAGAUGGUUCUUCAAUCAUAGGUAAGCAAACGAAAGGGAGAUUUGGUUUAAAAGCAAACUUACCGUAAUAAGCAAAGAAAGUAGUGAGGAAAAAUAAAAUGAUGAUUAAUGAUGGUUCCUUUCAGGUACCCAUUUCACGUUUUUUAGUGUUUAAAACAUGAGUGGUUUAAAUUAAAGGCAAAUCCAAGAUUUAAACUUUAUGGCUUCUAUCUUUAAAUUUUUUAUCAUUGAACUUAAUAGAUUGAAAGAGGAGAUGGUGAUUGUGGUGCAAUCUGAAGAAGGUAGAGGUUGUAGUUGUGGUGAUUGUCAGAUCUGAAGACGGAGGAAGUGGUGGUAGUGAUAAUGGCCAGACUUGAAGAGAAGGGGUUGUAGCCGGAGAAGAAAAGGUAGCUAGUCACCAGCAAAAAUUAUUUUCAGGAAAAACUAAUCAUUUUCUGGCAGUAAUAUAAGUCUUAGGUUGUUCACACGCUUGGAAAAGGUGAUAAAAUUAUAUAGUUACGUGUCAGCAAAAUGUAUUUAAUUGUGUGCAACAUUAAAUGUUCAAUAAGUAAAGGUUACAGUUAAAGUGUCUAACUGAAAUUUUGUGACAAAUUUAAGGGUCGCCUAUGUAUUUGGCCUAGGAUUAAACUUGAGGCUUUUAAACUUGCUAUCAGAUUUGGGAAUUCAUAGUGCUUAGGAGACUAAUUUUCCAACCAACAUCCUUAAAAAUCCUAAUAAUUAAUCAUGAGACUAAUUAAGGCAUCACUCUCCCUAAUUCUUCCUUCCCUAUUGGUAGCUACCAGUAAUCAGGGUUCUUAACUCCUAAUAACCAGUUUGAAAAAUGACAAAAAAAGAUCUAAUAAUUAAAAGAGCAAGACAAAAUUUAGUCGUACUAUGCUUCAUUAAAAAGAUGUGUGAAUACUAUAUUUUCUUAGUAGUUUGGUGAAACAAUCCCAUCUCUUGCAAAACACACAAAAAAAAAAAAAAAUAAAAAAAGAAGACAAAUUAAAAAAAGAAUUAGCUGGUUCCCACGAUCCAUAUGGGUCAUCUUUUAAAGCCUUUUUUCGGUAAUUAAAUUUUAUUACCUGGGCAAAAGGUAUUUACAGUUAGAUACAAAAAAAAAACCUUAAAAACUGGAGAAUACUCCAACUUCAUUGGUCACCUAUCCAGAUUUUCCAGCUUAACAUUUUGCCUGAAGUUACUUUACACCAUAUCAUACACAAUAAUUUCUGACUAUAUUCUUAGGUGAACUGGAGAAAACUAUAUCUUCUUAGUAGUCUGCUUUGGUUUCAUAAUUCAUAUUCUUUUAUCUAUUUUGGAUAAAUUUCUAAGUAUCAUCAUUAAUUUUCUCAAUUUCAGUAUUGCUAACAAAAUUAUGUUUGGAAUUAGGAUAUUGAACUCCAAAUAGUUGUGCUAUCUCUAUCUCUUUUUUUGGAAAUAGGAAAAUUUUAUUCAUUACUGAGUACUAACGUUACACAAGGAUGUUGUCCCAUUGGGAUAACAGUUUAUGAUCCAAAAAUUAGAUAUAGGUUUUUAUACAAUCAAAUUUAUAGAAAAGAAGGGUUAAUCACAGCCAAUAUUAAUAUUUAAUAGCAGAUCUAGCACUUUUAUGGCGGAUAUUUAUUGUAUAGUAUUAGAUAUGAUUAUCUUGAAGCAAUGAUUCAGUAAAAUUCUAUAAACGUAAAAGAUAAUAAUAAAUGAUAAUAAAUGACUUUUGAGUAAUAAAUGAGACAGAAUUCACCUGACAAGGGUGGGAUCUUCAAAUAUGUUUUCUGACAGUGAUGAAUGAUGAUAAGCAGUUGAAUAUUUUGAUUCUUCUUGGAUCGGAAUAGAAGAGUCAAAGAAAAGAAGGUGUAAAGUUAGGCUUUGUUUCUAUCCAAUAAAACGAGUAUCUUGCACAGAGAAUGUUGAUGAUUUUCUUUACAAAAAGAUCUAAUCCCCUUUUUUCAUCCACAUCUUUUUCUAUUUAUAUAAACACAUAUGUUUCUAAUCUCUAGAUAGUACAACAGAAGAAAUAUAUAUUAGAAUAUUCUCUAGGUAAUCUAAAUCCUAAAGCUGGUCGUCACUUUGUAUAGAAAGCCAAUGCUCGUCCUCGUCCUCGUCUUUUGUUGAAUAGUUUUGAUUUUUGACCCCGACUUAUUUUCUGCAUCUGACCUCGACCUCUUGGAGUGAGGUUGACACGUCACAGCCUUCAAAGGCCCUAUUGCCGUUGAUCUGGUCAAAUAUCUAAGAUGAUGUUUUCGCCCUUAUAGUUAGUCCCUCCGCUUGCUGAGGUCAUCCUUAGGGACGAGCUUGAUAAGUAGAUAAUAGCGGGUGUGGUCAUCAUCAGAGGCGGAUGGCAUGGCAUUUUGUGAGUCAUAUGUUUCAAACUCUUGUCGUCUUAAUAUUCCCGGGUGAUUUUUGGAGAGAGCCUGACAUGGUAGAGAUGUGACAUCAUUCAUCAUGAUGACGUCUGUUCCUGAUGCGUCACGUCAAUACAUAGGUAGCUUGUGGAUUGGUUCUAACGUUUUGAUUGCGGCUGCCAUUGUGAUGCAUCGCUUCGAAUCCUGAGACUCCUCCUUUAUAAAUAGGGGGAUGAUCACCGCAAUUCGAAUUCUUUCUUUACUUCCAUUGCCAAAGCUUUCUUCAUCUCCUUCUUAGACUCUAUUUCUCUGUUCAUUACUCCUAAAGUUUUUCUCCAUUUUCUUAACUCUUUCCCUUCCUAAAUUCCCCAAACUUCACAAUCAUGUCUAACUUGUCUUCUAAUGUUUGGGGCGGAGAGGUUUUUUAUAUGAAGAGGAGAUUUCGGCUACCUCACUGGCUGUUGCAGCCUUCAUUCGCAGAGGAGACGCCACCACCGUCGUUGAAAUAGAAGCCCUUCUCUCAAUAGAAGAAAUUAUUCCUUUCAAUCCCGACGCGAAACUGGACUUGCAAUGGCAGCAAAUGGCGGUGAGUGAGGUUUUUCGAUCCUCUCUAACAACCAAGUAUUUGGCGGAGUUCAAGGAUAAGUAUGGCCUUCUUAACCAAGUGGAGCUUGUGUCGCCGGUGAUGAUGAAGUGUACACUCAUUGUCCGGCCCUCUUUGCCUACCCCUUCACCAUUGGAUAUUCAUUUCCUCUUCCCCCUUUGGUUGAGAAAUUGUGCCACUAUUACAGGGUCUGUCCGGCUUAACUCACGCCCUUGGUUUACAAGGUAAUCAAGAUACUGUCUAAAUCUGUCAAGCUGGAUGAUGUUGAGAUCACUAUAUGGCAUUUGGUGCACAUGUUCAUGCCCAACUUCUAUCGGGCACGAUGUUGAGCAUUCGACAUCGUAGAAGCAAAUCCCUGGUCAUUAAGAUUGACAACAAGUGCAGUCGACAAUUUUGGCUCGACUUCUUUUUUGUCAAGACCGAGUCCAUAGUGGUUGAUGUCACAAACUCUCGUGAGGCUUGGAAUCGUGACCGUAUGUAUCGCUUAUCCUUGUUCUCUCAUGCAGUUGUACAUUUCGACAUAAUGAGUUAACUCUUCUUGUUUUGCAGCUACUUCUUGGAGUCUUCAGUCGGUGGCGCACCUCGCCGACUGUGUCAGGCAGGUCCUCCCUUGUACUGCGGGGACCAGAGAUUGGUAUGGCUUUUGGUAGAAGUAUAAACUGGCUCCCCUCCCAAAAGAUAACAUUAAUGCAUUAUUUUCAAAUUUGUACUUGGUUUCAUUAUCUAAUUAUGUUUGUUUUCGUGUCCCCUUCCAGGCCCUGCCAAGGAGGCCACCAAGAGGAACUUGGAACCAACAUCUUCUUUCAGGAGAAGGAGGGGUGUUACCUCCUCUGCGCCUGCCUCCGAUUCGACCACUAUGAUAGUUCUUUCUUCAGCUCCUUCUCAAGUUGAAGAGGAAGAAAUUUCGUAGCACGACAUAGACUUGGGGCCUCGAAAGAGGAAGGCCAUAGAUGAGGCGCUGGUGUACUAGCAUCGGUUGACUAAUCUGAAGUCUCUCUUGAUAUCGAAGUGCAAAAUGCUAUGCCAGCCCGAGUCAAAGAACGUGCUGGGGCGGUCCCAGAGGUGCCUCAAGUGGAGGAAGCCGAUGUUGCGGCUUCUUUGUGACAUGAGGGGGGAUGAGGUCGCAUGGGGUUCUAAACAAAGAUACCAUACUUCCUGGGCGCGAGGAGGGUCCAUAUACUGAAUUGGCUCAGGAAACUUUCCCUAUUGAUAAGGGUAAAUACAAGAUGCCUGCCGAGCAGGGUGACAAGAAAAAUAAGCCCAUCAACGAUGAAUCCAUUUCUGAUUUCAACCCCGAAGAUCAUGAGAUGAUCUAAAGUGGGACGACUCAUAUCGAGGUAAAGGUACAAGGGGGGUUGAGAACCAUCACAAUCCUGAUAAAACACAACUGACUAAAGAACACCGAGGAUGUGGUUCAGGCUUUUUGUCCCUUAUGCUUGGAAACCAAGCACAGACUCUCAGGGAACUAAGUGACAACACUCUUUCCAGUAGAAUCGCCGCUUUCUCUUUCAGGGUAAGUCAUUUCCUUUCUCUCUCUUUCUCUUUUUUUUUGCUUUGGAUUUCUUUCGAUCCUUACCUUACUUGCCUUUUUUUCAUUCUCGUGUAGACCGUUAUUUUAGAGAUUGAGAGCGUGCAGAGAGAGAAAAGGAGGAUGGAGGUCCACCACAAAAUGCGGAAGAAGUAUGAGGAGUUUUGCGGGUGGUAUAGGGAGGCUGAGAGGCGGCUCCGUGAAAAGGGUGACGUACCCGCCCUAAGAGAGGAGCUGCGAAAGAAAGACAAAGAGUUGGUUGUGUCCGUGGAGCGGCUCAGCACUCUUGAAGGGGCAUUAAAGAGAAAGGACGAGGAGCUCGAGCUGAGCAGGGGCAUAGAAGCUCAAUUCCACGACCUUCAGGGUCGGGUCGACCAACUGCAAGGUCAGUUAAGUGAGUGCCAGUUCAAAGUGGAUGGGCUCUGGGGGAGGUAGCUGAAAAAUAGUAGCUAAUUGAUGAGGUUGAAUCCUCUCGUAAACAAGCUCGAAGAAGGGAUGCUCUUGUUGAGUUAGAGAAUAAAAGCCUCUGUGUUAACCGGGACAAUGUUCAGUCAAUGGCUGAAGCUAAGGAGGCUAGACUCAAGGAGAGGAAUGACGAGUUGGAGAGAGAGAACACCGAGAUGCUUGAGCGAAUUUCUGCUGCGGAAAAGCGAGAAGGAUGGACUAUUCGAACGACCUCCACUUUUCAUGCUAUGAUUUUUCGGCCAUUCCGUGAGGGUAGUAUGAGGAGUGGAUCCUUGCCGAGGUUUGAGUAGAGGUGGUUCGAGAGUUGGGUCAGACGAUCUUUGUCUUUGAGACGACCUUGAAGGAGGCUUGAGUUAAAGCUCGUGAGGCUCGGUUGGCGUGCAAUUACGACCCCGACAUGCCUCAGCCUGAUGCAGAGGAUGAUGAUGAAAGAGGCCUCCCUAAGCUUAAAGACAGCGCAUGGUGAGACUCCACUUACAACCGAGGCGAGGAUGAAUAGGGUGAUGGAGACCAAGGCAGUGACAAUCAUUAGACCUUCCGCCCUUGAUUUGUUUUAGCUUUUGUAAUUUGUACUUUUUCCUUCUCUCUCUUUUAGUUGGCGUAUUUGUGUGCCUUUGUAAAGACAACCUCUCUUAUCUUUGCAUAUUUUUGUUUUGGUGAUCGUGUGCUUUACUUUUGCACUUCUUUCCUUUGUUGAUGCCCUCAGGGUUGCGAUGAUCGCGUGGUUGGGAAGUUUUACUCAAGAGGGUUGAGUGGCCACAUGACGGGGAGUUUUAUUUAAGCUGAUUGAAUAUAUAUCUUUUUAGUUAAGGCGUGGCCAAGGGCCAAUAGGUUUUAUUCGAGCUGGUCCAACAUACUUUUUAGUUGAGAUGUGGCCAAGGGCCGAGAGUUUAUGUUCGAGCUGGUCGAACGUAUCUCUAUGUUAAGAUGUGGAUAGGGGCUGAGGAGUUUUUUUCGAGCUAAUCGAGUGUAUAUCUAAGUUGUGAUGUGGCCAGGGGCCGAGGAGUUUUGUUCGUGCUAAUCGAAUCAUACCUCUAAGUUGUGCCAUGGUGAGGGGCCGAGGAAUUUUGUUCAAGCUAGUCGAGUCAUACCUCUAAGUUAAGACGUGGACAGGGGCUGAGAAGUUUUGUUCGAGCUAGUCGAAUCAUACCUCUAAGUUGAGAGACUUAGGAGAGCAGUUUCUAUAAACAUGUAUCUCAUUUAUUUCAAUAACAUUGUAUUGAUUACAUCAUUUUGCCAGAGGCUUUUUGGAGAAAAUUACAAGUUUUGGGUACUGACUGGCACUUUAGUCCCAAUCCCAAUAUAUCUAGUCCCUUCAUUGUUCGACUCAGUGAUUUUUGAGCGUUCGGGCAAUCAAAUAUGGUUGUUCUCGCAUACUUCACCUUGAAAUGUCCUGUCCGCUACCUCGUUAAAAACCUCCUUGAGAAAACCCUGUGGGGACAAAACGCAAGUGAGGGAAAAAGAGUACAACUUACGCGACACUCCUUGUUUUUUAGAAGUUGAAGCAUUUGAGGUGGUUGAUGUUCCAAUUGUUCGAUAAGAGCUUUCCUUCCAAUGUCUCUAGUUGGAGUGAACCCUUGUAUGCCUUGCAUAUGAUUUUGUACAGUCUAUCCCAAUUGGAUACUAAUUUUCCUUCUCGGGGAUCUCUUCCUGCUUGGGUCUUGGCUUUGAGCAUGUAGUCCCCUAUCUUGAGUAAUUGUAAUUUGGCCUUUCUGUUGUAGUAGCAUUCUACUUGUUGUUUCUAUGCGACCAUUCAUACAUAUGCCAUGUCUCUCCAUUUUCCAACUUCAUCGAGGUCCUAUCUUUUGUUCUCGUCAUUGUCAUUACCACUCGGUUGUGUACCUUAGGCUGGGUUCUCCUACUUCGACCGGUAUGAAUGCUUCUAAUCUAGACUAAGGAGUAAGGUGUCUCUCUUGUACUCAUUUUUGGGGUUAUCCUAUGUGCCCACAACACUUCUAGAAGUGUCUUCGGCCACAUUCCCUUAGCAUCUUCGAAUCUCUUCUUCAGGAUGUUCAAAAUCGACUUGUUGGAGGAUUCUUCUUGCCUGUUGCCAGCGGGAUGGUACGAGGUUGAGAGUAUUCUUUUGACAUGCCACAUUUCGAGAAACUAGGUGGAUUUUCUCUCUGUGAAUUGGGGUCUGUUAUUGUAGCUUAUUUCUUUUGUAAUGACCCGGCCAGUCGUUUUGAGAGUUAGAGCCCUGAUCUCCUAUUAACUGCUUUCCCCGUAUCUUUUUCUACUAUUGUGACUUGCUGGGAAGAUUCGUUUUGAGUUUCGGAGUGUUUUGAGACACUUAGUCCCUAAAUGGAAUUUGAAUCUUAGAAUUUGAACCACAGUUAGAACUGUGUGAAGACGACUCUGGAAUGGAGUUCCCUCGAUUCCGUUAGCUCCAUUGGCUUAUUUUGGGCUUAGGGGCGUGUCCGGAUUGUGUUUUUGAGGUAUGUAGCUCAUUUAGGCUUGAAAUGGCGAAAGUCAAAUUUUUGGAGUUUUGGGCUGGUAGUGGAAAUUUUGCUAUAAAGGUCGGAAUCCGAUUCUGGAAGUUGAAAUAGGUCCAUAGUGUUGAAUAUGACUUGGGUGCCAAAUUUGGGAUUAAUUGGAUGUGGUUUGAUAGGUUCCGACAUCGGUACUGGAAACUUAAAGUUUCAAAUUUAUUAUGUUUGGAUUGGAGGGUAAUUUGUGUUUUUAGCAUUGUUUGAUGUGUUUUGAUGGCUCAACUAAGUUCAUAUGAUAUUUUAGGAUUGGUUGGUAUGUUUGGUUGAUGUCCCGGGGGCCUCGGGUGUGUUUCUGAUGCUCAACGAAUUGAUUUGGGACUUAUGCAAACUACUAAAGUUGUUGCACCUAGUGUUUUUUACCUACGCACUUUGGGGCCACCGGUGCGGAGCCGUAGAAGCGGAUAUGGGCCUGGUCCAGCUAGGUCCGCAGAUGUGGUGAGGGGUCCACAGAAGCUGAGGCGUAGAAGCUGUUGGGGACCGUAGAAGCGGACUCGCAGGUGCGGCCUAGAGCUCGCAGAUGCGGUACCAGCCCACUUAAGUUAAUUCCGCACCUGCGAUGUAAUUUCCGCAGGUGUGACGUUAGCAGGUGUGAAGAAGGGUCCGUAGGUGCGGUUUGACAGGCAGAAAAAGGGCAAAAUCAAGGGUAUGAUUUCAUUCUCCAUUUUUGGGCUUAGAGAGCUCGGAUUGAGGCGAAAUUUCGAGGGAUUUUCAGAGGAAGCUUGUGGGUAACGAUUCCUUACUUGAUUUUGGUUGUAUUUCAUUAUUGUUUUCUUCAUUUAAUCAAGGAAUUUGGGUGAGAAAGUUGGGAAAUGGGGAAAAAAUUCCCCAAUCAAAUUUUUGAGUUUUGAGUGGGAUUUUGACAUCAGAUUUGGAUAAUUUUCAGUACGAGUGAGCUCGUGAGUGAAUGGGUGUUCAUAAUUUGUGACUUUUACCCGAUUCUGAGGCGUGGGCUCGGGAAGGCUUUUUGGGCGUUUUUCUAAUUUCUUGCCUUAGCUUUGAUUUCGUUAGCUAGAUUAGUUUCUUGUAGCUAUAUUUAUGUUAUGUAAUUGGUUUUGGCUAGGUUUGGGCCAUCCAGAGGCGGAUAUUCGUAGAAAGAGCAUUAUUACGGAUUGAUUUGAGCUCGGUUCGAGGUAAGUGGCUUGCCUAACUUUGUGUGGGGAAACUCCCCUUAGGAUUUGAUAUUGUUUGAUAUAUGAGCGCCAUGUACGUAAGGUGACAAGUAUGUACACAUGCUAUUUAAUAAAACUUCGUUUUCACUAAGUCAUAACCUUUUUUCUCCUUGUUUGAACUACAAUAGAAUACGUAAAUACCUUGUUUAGAUUAGAAAAGCAUGCCAUCGUAUUUUAAACACCUAUUUAAACUCUCUGCAACAUGUUUAGUGAAAUUACUUGUUUUCUUUGAUGUGAACUUAGCCUAAACUGUAGGUCUCCUUGCUGUAACUGUUGGUUAUAUUGCUUGAGCUACAUAUUUACUUUGGGACUACAGAAUGGUAUUCCGGGAGAUCCCCCUGUACUGUAAUUUACUUUGGGACCGCGGAACGGUAUUUUGGGAGAUGCCCCUAUACUGCAUAGUUACUUUGGGACUACAGAACAGUAUUCCGGAGAUCCCCAGUACUGCAUAUUUACUUUGGGAUUACGGAACGGUAUUGCGAGAGAUCCCCUUGCACAUUUAUGUUUGGGACUACGGGACGGUAUUCUGGGAGACCCCCUGUUGCUAUAACUGUGUUCUGAGCUGUUGACUUUCAUUGAAUUUUAUUCCUGUUAGAUUUUCGUACUUAUUUUUCUGUAAUAUUUUCUUUCUUUCUUAUUUCAUUAUAUUUAUACUAGUAGGGCUCUGACCUGAUCUCGUCACUACUCGACCGAGGUUAGUCUUGGCACUUACUGGGUACCGUUGUGGUAUACUCAUGCCCUUUCCUGCACAUGCUUUCCGUGUGCUGAUCCAGGUACUAGCUAUCAGCCUCGAGUCUAGUUGUGUGGUUGCUGCUUCAUGAGACUUCAAGGUACAUCUUCCCGCAUCCGUAGACCUCAAAGUCCCCUUCUAUCCCCUAUGUUCGUUUUAUUUUUUUCCUUAGAAAUGAUGUAUAGAACAGUUAGGACUUCUUAGAAGCUUGUGACAUUGCGAAAUUCUGGGUUUUGGGAAAGAUGAUUAUUGUGUAUGCCGAGUGGCACCGUUUCUGCUUAUUUAUUUUAUCUGUUAGCUG
RNAcentral lists this long non-coding RNA (9744 nucleotides) under Nicotiana tabacum (common tobacco). Its description in RNAcentral is "long non-coding RNA (NTAB_LNC001240)". Lineage: Eukaryota; Viridiplantae; Streptophyta; Magnoliopsida; Solanales; Solanaceae. The record is from RNAcentral.